GGUUAAGCGACUAAGCGUACACGGUGGAUGCCCUGGCAGUCAGAGGCGAUGAAGGACGUGCUAAUCUGCGAAAAGCGCCGGCGAGGUGAUAUGAACCUUUGACCCGGCGAUGUCCGAAUGGGGAAACCCAGUGUGWUUCGWCACACUAUCGUUAACUGAAUACAUAGGUUAACGAGGCGAACCGGGGGAACUGAAACAUCUAAGUACCCCGAGGAAAAGAAAUCAACCGAGAUUCCCCCAGUAGCGGCGAGCGAACGGGGAGCAGCCCG
Molecule: ribosomal RNA, 269 nt
Filed under: Enterobacter kobei
Lineage: Bacteria; Pseudomonadati; Pseudomonadota; Gammaproteobacteria; Enterobacterales; Enterobacteriaceae
Description: partial 23S ribosomal RNA
Source: RNAcentral